This 253-nucleotide ribosomal RNA is filed under the name uncultured bacterium. Its description in RNAcentral is "partial 16S ribosomal RNA". It matches the Rfam family "Bacterial small subunit ribosomal RNA", at positions 524 to 776 of the family's 1533-position model. The record is from RNAcentral.
UACGUAGGGGGCUAGCGUUGUCCGGAAUCAUUGGGCGUAAAGAGCGCGUAGGCGGCUAGAUAAGUCCGGUGUGAAAGUCACAGGCUCAACCUGUGAAUGCCGCUGGAAACUGUCUGGCUAGAGUCCGGAAGGGGCGAGUGGAAUUCCUGGUGUAGCGGUGAAAUGCGCAGAUAUCAGGAGGAACACCAAUGGCGAAGGCAGCUUGCUGGGCUUCUUCUGACACUGAGGUACGAAAGCGUGGGGAGCGAACAGG